Molecule: ribosomal RNA, 693 nt
Filed under: uncultured Burkholderia sp.
Lineage: Bacteria; Pseudomonadati; Pseudomonadota; Betaproteobacteria; Burkholderiales; Burkholderiaceae
Description: bacterial SSU rRNA
Rfam family: Bacterial small subunit ribosomal RNA
Source: RNAcentral
CGGCAGCACGGGAGCAAUCCUGGUGGCGAGUGGCGAACGGGUGAGUAAUACAUCGGAACGUGUCCUGGAGUGGGGGAUAGCCCGGCGAAAGCCGGAUUAAUACCGCAUACGCUCUGAGGAGGAAAGCGGGGGAUCUUCGGACCUCGCGCUCAAGGGGCGGCCGAUGGCAGAUCAGGUAGUUGGUGGGGUAAAGGCCUACCAAGCCGACGAUCUGUAGCUGGUCUGAGAGGACGACCAGCCACACUGGGACUGAGACACGGCCCAGACUCCUACGGGAGGCAGCAGUGGGGAAUUUUGGACAAUGGGCGCAAGCCUGAUCCAGCAAUGCCGCGUGUGUGAAGAAGGCCUUCGGGUUGUAAAGCACUUUUGUCCGGGAAGAAAUCCCUGGUCCUAAUAUGGCCGGGGGAUGACGGUACUGGAAGAAUAAGCACCGGCUAACUACGUGCCAGCAGCCGCGGUAAUACGUAGGGUGCGAGCGUUAAUCGGAAUUACUGGGCGUAAAGCGUGCGCAGGCGGUGAUGUAAGACCGAUGUGAAAUCCCCGGGCUCAACCUGGAACUGCAUUGGUGACUGCAUCGCUCGAGUAUGGCAGAGGGGGGUAGAAUUCCACGUGUAGCAGUGAAAUGCGUAGAGAUGUGGAGGAAUACCGAUGGCGAAGGCAGCCCCCUGGGUCAAUACUGACGCUCAUGCACGA